RNAcentral lists this signal recognition particle RNA (281 nucleotides) under Gorilla gorilla gorilla (western lowland gorilla). RNAcentral describes it as "Metazoan signal recognition particle RNA". It matches the Rfam family "Metazoan signal recognition particle RNA". From Rfam's summary of the family: The signal recognition particle (SRP) is a universally conserved ribonucleoprotein. It is involved in the co-translational targeting of proteins to membranes. The eukaryotic SRP consists of a 300-nucleotide 7S RNA and six proteins: SRPs 72, 68, 54, 19, 14, and 9. Lineage: Eukaryota; Metazoa; Chordata; Mammalia; Primates; Hominidae. The record is from Rfam by way of RNAcentral.
GCCAGGUAUUGUGGCAGGCACCUGUAGUCCCAGCUACUGGGGAGGCUGAGGAGAAUCACUUGAACCCAAGAGGCAGAGAUUGCAGUGAGCCGAGAUCAGGCCACUGCACUCCAGCUUGAGUGACAGAGCGAGACUCCACCUCAAAAAAAAAAAAAAAANNNNNNNNNNUUUUUUUUUUUUUUUUGAGGUGGAGUCUCGCUCUGUCACUCAAGCUGGAGUGCAGUGGCCUGAUCUCGGCUCACUGCAAUCUCUGCCUCUUGGGUUCAAGUGAUUCUCCUCAG